AUCUGCAGCCACAGUACCCUGAUUGCCUGUUUCCUCCCAUCUCAGAAGCCAAGCAGGGUUGGGCCUGGUUAGUUCUCCAGCAUCCAGCCGCCCCCACUGAAAGGUUUUGCUGUUA
Molecule: ribosomal RNA, 115 nt
Organism: Ochotona princeps (American pika)
Lineage: Eukaryota; Metazoa; Chordata; Mammalia; Lagomorpha; Ochotonidae
Source: Ensembl